AAAUGAAUUGACGGGGGCCCGCACAAGCAGUGGAUUAUGUGGUUUAAUUCGAAGCAACGCGAAGAACCUUACCAGGUCUUGACAUCCAACGAAUCCUUUAGAGAUAGAGGAGUGCCCUUCGGGGAGCGUUGAGACAGGUGGUGCAUGGUUGUCGUCAGCUCGUGUCGUGAGAUGUUGGGUUAAGUCCCGCAACGAGCGCAACCCUUACCAUUAGUUGCUACGCAAGAGCACUCUAAUGGGACCGCUACCGACAAGGUGGAGGAAGGUGGGGAUGAGGUCAAAUCAUCAUGCCCCUUACGACCUGGGCCACACACGUAAUACAAUGGCCGUUAACAGCGUGAAGCGAAAUCGCGAGAUGGAGCAAAACACCAAAAACGGUCCCAGUUCGGAUCGCAGGCUGCAACCCGCCUGCGUGAAGUUGGAAUUGCUAGUAAUCGCGGAUCAGCAUGCCGCGGUGAAUACGUUCCCGGGCCUUGUACACACCGCCCGU
RNAcentral lists this ribosomal RNA (490 nucleotides) under uncultured bacterium. Its description in RNAcentral is "bacterial SSU rRNA". It matches the Rfam family "Bacterial small subunit ribosomal RNA", at positions 903 to 1397 of the family's 1533-position model. The record is from RNAcentral.